UAGGGAAUCUUCGGCAAUGGGGGCAACCCUGACCGAGCAACGCCGCGUGAGUGAAGAAGGUUUUCGGAUCGUAAAGCUCUGUUGUAAGAGAAGAACGUGUGUGAGAGUGGAAAGUUCACACAGUGACGGUAACUUACCAGAAAGGGGCGGCUAACUACGUGCCAGCAGCCGCGGUAAUACGUAGGUCCCGAGCGUUGUCCGGAUUUAUUGGGCGUAAAGCGAGCGCAGGCGGUUUAAUAAGUCUGAAGUUAAAGGCAGUGGCUUAACCAUUGUUCGCUUUGGAAACUGUUAAACUUGAGUGCAGAAGGGGAGAGUGGAAUUCCAUGUGUAGCGGUGAAAUGCGUAGAUAUAUGGAGGAACACCGGUGGCGAAAGCGGCUCUCUGGUCUGUAACUGACGCUGAGGCUCGAAAGCGUGGGGAGCAAACAGG
This 429-nucleotide ribosomal RNA is filed under the name bacterium. Its description in RNAcentral is "partial 16S ribosomal RNA". It matches the Rfam family "Bacterial small subunit ribosomal RNA", at positions 355 to 776 of the family's 1533-position model. The record is from RNAcentral.